UGGGGAAUAUUGGACAAUGGGCGCAAGCCUGAUCCAGCCAUGCCGCGUGAGUGACGAAGGCCUUAGGGUUGUAAAGCUCUUUUGGCGGGGAAGAUAAUGACGGUACCCGGAGAAGAAGCUCCGGCUAACUUCGUGCCAGCAGCCGCGGUAAUACGAAGGGAGCUAGCGUUGUUCGGAAUUACUGGGCGUAAAGCGCACGUAGGCGGGCUAUUAAGUCAGGGGUGAAAUCCCGAGGCUCAACCCCGGAACUGCCUUUGAUACUGAUAGUCUUGAGAUCGGGAGAGGUGAGUGGAAUUCCUAGUGUAGAGGUGAAAUUCGUAGAUAUUAGGAAGAACACCAGUGGCGAAGGCGGCUCACUGGCCCGAUACUGACGCUGAGGUGCGAAAGCGUGGGGAGCAAACAGGAUUAGAUACCCCCGUAGUCCCUGAGCGGGCUGGCAAGGCGCAU
This 447-nucleotide ribosomal RNA is filed under the name uncultured bacterium. RNAcentral describes it as "bacterial SSU rRNA". It matches the Rfam family "Bacterial small subunit ribosomal RNA", at positions 355 to 825 of the family's 1533-position model. The record is from RNAcentral.